AACACCGUUUAUGAACGCCAGUUUCCACUUCCGGUAAACAACUACCUGAAUUUACUUUCAUAAUAUAUAAAGCAGAUAAAUGCUAUUGUACCAUCGCAAUCCCAUUUUUCAGUUUUAUUUGGCUCAAACACUGUUGCUGUUUCCUGACGGUUAAAGAAUUCAAGUGGGGACGGCAUUUUCCAGACGAAGGAAUGGCAAAGAUGAUAAUGGCCUGUCUGCUCCUGGCGUUGGUGCUGGUUGCUCGCAUUCAGGAUACCAAAGCGGACACUUUCUACGGAAGCGUUGCGGCGGCGUGUAGAUGGCUGAAGGAUAACUUUGGCUACGGCUGCGACGGGCAGGCGGAACGCUGGAUUUGGCAGACUUAUCAUCGUCUUCGUUAUGGUGCCACCGACUGCAACUCCUAUUGCAUCCGCUCGCUGAACAGACCACGCGGUGGACGGUGCCUCCGACAGCCGAAUUACGACCAGAGCACGUGGUGCCCUCCUGGACAAACAUGCACUUGCAGUUGAUACAGAAAUAGGAGUUCGUGGGAAGUUGUAUGGUGGGCGUGUACAGUACAUAUUCCUUAAAACUAUGAUAAAUAAAAACUGCAUAAAAACGAAACUGCGCAAAACCCAAAAUACGAGUAUAAUAGCUUUUACUGCUGUACCACUUUAUUGUGAUCAUUUAUUAUGAUUCGUUAUUAAUUAUUAUUUGUUGAUUAUGUUGUUAUUUAUUAAUUAUGUUCUCUUUUUCAUGUUUUUUGAAUAUUAGAAUUUAGUUUUAAUCAAUGUAAGCUUGUGCAGGCGUAUCGCUCUGUGCACUGUUCGACUGUUGCCGAAUAAAAGUAAGAAUGUA
Long non-coding RNA from Paramacrobiotus metropolitanus, 837 nucleotides. RefSeq lists it as uncharacterized. NCBI's taxonomy places the organism in Eukaryota, Metazoa, Tardigrada, Eutardigrada, Parachela, Macrobiotidae. The transcript is spliced from 2 exons. The record is from RefSeq and is a predicted model, not a curated record.